CAGAUGUUUACCCUGGGAAGCCAGCCCCCAUGCCAUGAAGAAGCCCAGGCCACCCAGAGAGACCGUAUGUAGUUGUUCCAGCUGACUGUCCCAGUUAAUGUUGGAGUGUAUAAACAAAGCUUACCUACUAUAUCGGCAGCAGAUCACCCUUUCUCCUUCUGGAAAUGACUGUAGUCUCAGCAUGUAGUUGAGCAAUUACCAACACUCCAGCAUGACUUUUCCAGAGGAGUAAGACCUUAUCUACAGCUUCUAUCAAGCAGGCUCUUCUCCCCAUU
This is a long non-coding RNA of Zalophus californianus (California sea lion), 275 nucleotides long. RefSeq lists it as uncharacterized. NCBI's taxonomy places the organism in Eukaryota, Metazoa, Chordata, Mammalia, Carnivora, Otariidae. The transcript is spliced from 3 exons. The record is from RefSeq and is a predicted model, not a curated record.